RNAcentral lists this ribosomal RNA (379 nucleotides) under uncultured eukaryote. Its description in RNAcentral is "partial 18S ribosomal RNA". It matches the Rfam family "Eukaryotic small subunit ribosomal RNA", at positions 592 to 976 of the family's 1831-position model. The record is from RNAcentral.
CAAUAGCGUAUAUUUAAGUUGUUGCAGUUAAAAAGCUCGUAGUUGGAUUUCGGAUGGGACUUGCCGGUCCGUCGUUUCGAUGUGCACUGGCCAGUCCUAUCUUGUUGUCGGGGACUAGCUCCUGGGCUUCACUGUCCGGGACUAGGAGCUGACGAGGUUACUUUGAGUAAAUUAGAGUGUUCAAAGCAAGCCUACGCUCUGAAUACAUUAGCAUGGAAUAACACGAUAGGACUCUGGCUUAUCUUGUUGGUCUGUGAGACCAGAGUAAUGAUUAAGAGGGACAGUCGGGGGCAUUCGUAUUUCAUUGUCAGAGGUGAAACUCUUGGAUUUAUGAAAGACGAACUUCUGCGAAAGCAUUUGUCAAGGAUGUUUUCAUUAA